Molecule: ribosomal RNA, 470 nt
Filed under: uncultured bacterium
Lineage: Bacteria
Description: bacterial SSU rRNA
Rfam family: Bacterial small subunit ribosomal RNA
Source: RNAcentral
GAGUUUGAUCGUGGCUCAGGAUGAACGCUGGCGGUAUGCUUAACACAUGCAAGUCGAACGAAACCUUUCGGGGUUUAGUGGCGGACGGGUGAGUAACGCGUGAGAAUCUGGCUUCAGGUCUGGGACAACCACUGGAAACGGUGGCUAAUACCGGAUGUGCCGAGAGGUGAAAGGUUAACUGCCUGAAGAUGAGCUCGCGUCUGAUUAGCUAGUUGGCAGUGUAAUGGACUACCAAGGCGACGAUCAGUAGCUGGUCUGAGAGGACGAUCAGCCACACUGGGACUGAGACGCGGCCCAGACUCCUACGGGAGGCAGCAGUGGGAAUUUCCGCAAUGGGCGAAAGCCUGACGGAGCAAUACCGCGUGAGGGAGGAAGGCUCUUGGGUCGUAAACCUCUUUCUCAGGGAAGAACACAAUGACGGUACCUGAGGAAUAAGCAUCGGCUAACUCCGUGCCAGCCGCCGCAGUAAU